AUUUGCUCGAAGAUUGUAAAAUUAAGCAUGGCAGCUUCUUCUUCAUCAGCUUUCCUUUCAUUAAGAGAUGAAAACGACAAGCAGCAGCAGCAGCCGGCGGCAGCAGCAGCGGCACCUUCAAACAAGAGGCGGCGGAACCAGCCAGGAAAUCCAAAUCCGGACGCGGAAGUAAUCGCGCUAUCGCCCAAGACCCUAAUGGCGACGAACCGGUUCGUGUGCGAGGUGUGCAACAAAGGGUUCCAAAGGGAGCAGAAUCUGCAGCUGCACCGGCGAGGGCACAAUCUGCCGUGGAAGCUGCGGCAGAAGAGCACGAAGGAGGUGAAACGGAAGGUGUACCUGUGCCCGGAGCCGAGCUGCGUGCACCACGACCCGGCGCGGGCCCUCGGCGACCUCACCGGAAUCAAGAAGCACUACUCCAGAAAACACGGCGAGAAGAAAUACAAGUGUGAGAAAUGCUCCAAGAAAUACGCCGUGCAUUCCGACUGGAAAGCCCAUUCCAAGACGUGCGGCACCCGCGAGUACAGAUGCGACUGCGGCACCCUUUUCUCCAGACGUGACAGUUUCAUCACUCACCGAGCCUUCUGCGACGCGCUGGCUCAGGAGAGCGCGCGAAACCUGAACCCGCCGUCCCUGAGCAGCAUCGGCAGCCACCUAUUAGGGCUCUCCCAGCAAGAUCAGAUCAACAAUGGAGGUCUAUCAAGUCAUGACAUACUCAGAUUGGGCAGGCCCGGCCCGCAAUACGAAACCCUAGUCAGCCCGGGAGGGUUCCGGCCUUCGCCCCGGGCCCUAUUCCUCCAACCGAAUCACGACGAUGAUCAUCAAGAUCAAGCUUCUCAUGCCAUGCUGCCCAACAAAUCAUCACUGCAAGGCCUUAUGCAGCUCCCUCAGCUCCACAUGAACAACGCCGCCAACACCUCGUCCAACGCCUCCGCCGGCCUCUUCAACCUCAGCUUCUUCCCCGGGAACAACAACAACGCCUCCGCCAUGGACUCCGCUGCCGGAGAAGACUCCACCCUCUUCUCAUCAGGUAACCUCAUGAGCAUUGCGAUCCCAUCGCUGUACAGCACCUCGCACGCCAUGCAAACCCCCAGCGGCGGCGGAGGGCAAAUGUCCGCGACGGCGCUUCUGCAGAAGGCUGCGCAGAUGGGCUCCACCACCAGCAACGCAGGCGCGUCGUCGUCCCUGCUGAAGGGGUUCGGGAAGUCCCCCGACCACCACGGAUUCUAUGGAGGAAACAACAACAACAAUAACAACAGCGGAAACCAUCUGCACGACUUGAUGAACUCCAUAGCUGCCGCGGGAGGCAGCUCCGCGGCGUCCAUAUUCGAGCAGGCGGAGAUGGGCGAGUACAGAGGGUUCCACGGCGGCAACGGCAACGGCAGCAGCAAUCAGCAGAGUGGAUUCAGCAGCUUGGAGCAAGCGGGGAGGCUGACGAGGGAUUUUCUUGGAGUGGGAGAGAUUGUGAGAAGUGUGAGAGAGCAGCAGCAAAGUGGGAUGGAUCAUCUCAGCUCUAUGGAUUCGCAGGGAAAAACGACGUCGCAUUCGCAUACCCAACCUUUUGGUGGGGGGACUUUUCAGUGAAGGCUGGGAGUUUUGGAUUCGAAUUAGGAAAGAGAGAUGAUCAUUUUACAGGAGAUCCAACGGCUUGAUUGAAGAAGAUGGCUAGCUUGUGUUUCUGCUGUGUACAUGGAUCCAAAUCAAAAACAACAAAAAAUUAGUUUUUUUUUUCUUCUGCUCUUAUAAUUUCUAGGUGAACUAGAAGAAGGAACGUACCUGAAACUUGUUAUUUUAAAUUUUGUAGUGUGACAAUUUUUGUUCUUUUACCCUUUUGAAUGAACAUUUUGAAACAAGAAAAAUAUAAAAAGAAAUGCACAAGUUCAAAACCAA
This is an RNA transcript of Salvia miltiorrhiza (redroot sage), 1887 nucleotides long. It is a transcript of the gene named protein indeterminate-domain 5, chloroplastic-like, with no coding region annotated. The record is from RefSeq and is a predicted model, not a curated record. The transcript is spliced from 5 exons. Lineage: Eukaryota; Viridiplantae; Streptophyta; Magnoliopsida; Lamiales; Lamiaceae.